GAUGUUCUUCAGGGCAGGGUGACUUUUUUAAAGAAUUCCCGACCGACGGUGAUACCACGAUGUGGGCAAGUCCGUGAGCCAUAUGGCAGGAUAUUGGUGAGAAUCCAAAACCGACAGUAUAGUCUGGAUGAGAGAAGAUAACA
Molecule: non-coding RNA, 143 nt
Filed under: Roseburia sp.
Lineage: Bacteria; Bacillati; Bacillota; Clostridia; Lachnospirales; Lachnospiraceae
Description: FMN sequence
Rfam family: FMN riboswitch aptamer (RFN element)
About the family: The RFN element is a highly conserved domain that is found frequently in the 5'-untranslated regions of prokaryotic mRNAs that encode for flavin mononucleotide (FMN) biosynthesis and transport proteins. This element is a metabolite-dependent riboswitch that directly binds FMN in the absence of proteins. In Bacillus subtilis, the riboswitch most likely controls gene expression by causing premature transcription termination within the 5' untranslated region of the ribDEAHT operon and precluding access to the ribosome-binding site of ypaA mRNA.
Source: RNAcentral